Pieris napi is the source of this 1928-nucleotide long non-coding RNA. RefSeq lists it as uncharacterized. The record is from RefSeq and is a predicted model, not a curated record. Lineage: Eukaryota; Metazoa; Arthropoda; Insecta; Lepidoptera; Pieridae. The transcript has 2 exons.
CUUUAAAAAUAUUACUGAAUUGUCGAAACCAUACAACACAUAAUAGAAACAAGAGAACUCCUUCUUUCGUUGAUGUUCGCUAAUCCGUGACUUGGAGUGUGAGGUGUUCCUCACAGCGACGUACAUUAUUUUAGUAUUAUUAUUAUUUAUAGUAACAAAUUAUUUGCACUUUUAAACUUAAAGACAAUCAAUAUUACGCUCCGCCCUUUGGGCUAUUGACUUUGAUUUUUUAUUUGAUUGGCAUCAGAGAGUGUUCAGAAGAUUUAUUCGGAUUAAUAACUGCAGAUGAGUUUAAUCAUCGGACGUCGAGGCAGAAUACGAACUUCCACCCGUAUCACCUCGACGUCUGUCGUUCCAUAACUGAGCAUUUGUAAGGAUUUUUUGCCGCGCACCAUGAUUAUGUGGGACCACCUGCCGAUAGAAGUAAUUCCAAACCAAAUUUACUUACCUUCGGGAAAAGAGGGUACUGAUUCUUAAAAGGUCGGCAACGCUCUUGUGAGCCCUCUAGCAGUAUCACAUAAAAUCAGAUUAGCCUCCUGCUCUUGGCUUACGGUUCGGAACCUGCAUUUAUCGGAAAGAUGAAAAUAUCUCAUUCAUCACAUAUCAUAUAGGAUAUUAAAUUGCCCAGCGUUACUUACAGCAACUAGGUAUCGAUUUUAGAAAGGAAACACCAUAUUCUUAGAAAUAAAACUUGAACAUGAGAAACAGUAACAAAAUUUAAUUUUUCCUGUAAUGAGAAAACUGAAACUAAAGGCAGAAGGUUUAAGUCCAUAAUAAAGAUAUAAAGAAUAUAAUUAUAUAGGUAAACUAUUCGAUUUUAACAGUGUAAGAUGUUUUUUUAUAAAAAUAAGUAUAUUUGUUUUAUAAUUUUGAGAAAAUAAAAAAAUAAGUAUAUAAUUUUUGUUAGGCGUCAUUCAAUGUGGUUGAAAAUAUUUGUAUUAUAAUUCAGAGAGAAUCGGGAGAUCCCUGACGACCCAGGUUAUCGCGAACAAAUUAGUUAGUUCUUACAAAAUGACGCAGCGCUAUUAUAGACUUUAAUUCAUUACAAUAAAGACGCCAAUUAAUCAGCAGUCAGUUCUUGGACGCAGAUGUUAUAUUGGCGUCAUAAUACACAUGAAUACUACUAAAAUGCCGUGCGUUAUUUAUUGAGAGCUUUAUUUCAAAAGCAAUAACGUUCAGUUUAUAUUCAUUUUUGUUUUUAACUGGUUUGGUACGUUUGUCGUUAACAUACAAUAUAAACUAGACGCAUUGCAAGAAUCUUCACAAUACAAAAAGCAGCACGCUUCAUAACUUGUUACUGACAAAGGAAGAAAAAAAAAACAAAAAUGAAUUUCGGAAAAUUGUUCUUCUUCAUCUUCGCCUGCGUCUUGGCUUUGAGCUCGGUGUCGGCGGCGCCAAAAUGGAAGAUUUUCAAGAAAAUUGAACACAUGGGCCAAAACAUUCGUGAUGGUCUCAUCAAGGCUGGCCCUGCAGUUCAAGUUGUGGGUCAAGCCGCAACCAUCUAUAAAGGAAAAUAGAGAAACAAGAAGAAUGAUGCUAUACCAAAAAUAAGGAGUUAUUUACAAUAAGAAUUCAAGACCAAAAGUUUGAACAAAAAGGAAGUUAUCGAAUUUCAAUACCUUGAUACCCGAUCUCUUACUUUGGAAACAAAUGGUUUUAUAACAAAACAAAAUUUCUCAUUUAUAAGUUCGUUUAUUUCAUACCAUCGGGAUUGCUCUGUAACCGAUACCAAUGACUAUUUAUUUAGUUAAUAAUAGCUAGGCUUGGAAUACUAUGUAGUAGAUCUGGUACCUCAAACGGUGACUGAUGUGUAUAUUAUGGUUAUGAUUCUAUUGUACAUGAUUAUCUGUACUUACUGCCCAUAUACUUGAAAUAGGUUAUUUAAAUGUAAGAUCAUAGUAUUAUUUGUAAAUAAAUAUUUAAAGUUA